AACGAACGCUGGCGGCAUGCCUAACACAUGCAAGUCGAACGAGACCUUCGGGUCUAGUGGCGCACGGGUGCGUAACGCGUGGGAACCUGCCCUUAGGUUCGGAAUAACUCCCCGAAAGGGGUGCUAAUACCGGAUAAUGUCUUCGGACCAAAGAUUUAUCGCCUUUGGAUGGGCCCGCGUUGGAUUAGCUAGUUGGUAGGGUAAAAGCCUACCAAGGCGACGAUCCAUAGCUGGUCUGAGAGGAUGAUCAGCCACACUGGGACUGAGACACGGCCCAGACUCCUACGGGAGGCAGCAGUGGGGAAUAUUGGAAAAUGGGCGAAAGACUGAUCCAGCAAGGCAGCGUGAGUGAUGAAGGCCUUAGGGUUGUAAAGCUCUUUUAACCGGGAUGAUAAUGACAGUACCGGGAGAAUAAGCCCCGGCUAACUCCGUG
Molecule: ribosomal RNA, 433 nt
Filed under: uncultured bacterium
Lineage: Bacteria
Description: partial 16S ribosomal RNA
Rfam family: Bacterial small subunit ribosomal RNA
Source: RNAcentral